AUCCGGAAUCAUUGGGCGUAAAGCGCCUGUAGGUUGUUUAAUAAGUCCGUUGUUAAAGACUAGGGCUUAACCCUAGGAAAGCGAUGGAAACUGAUAGACUUGAGUAUGGCAGGGGUAGAGGGAAUUUCUAGUGUAGCGGUGAAAUGCGUAGAUAUUAGAAAGAACACCGGUGGCGAAAGCGCUCUACUGGACCAUUACUGACACUGAGAGGCGAAAGCUAGGGGAGCGAAAGGGAUUAGAUACCCCUGUAGUCCUAGCCAUAAACGAUGGAUACUAGAUGUUGUGCAAUUUGGACAGUAUCGUAGCUAACGCGUUAAGUAUCCCGCCUGGGGAGUACGCUCGCAAGGGUGAAACUCAAAGGAAUUGACGGGGGCCUGCACAAGCGGUGGAGCAUGUGGUUUAAUUCGAUGCAACGCGAAGAACCUUACCAGGGCUUGACAUACUAUAGAUCUUUUUGAGAAAGAAGAGUGCCUUCGGGAAUGUAGAUACAGGUGGGGCAUGGCUGUCGUCAGCUCGUGUCGUGAGAUGUUGGGUUAAGUCCCGCAACGAGCGCAACCCUCGUUUUUAGUUGCCAAUUUAUUGGGAUCUCUAGAAAGACUGCCGGUGACAAACCCGGAGGAAGGUGAGGAUGACGUCAAGUCAGCAUGCCCCUUAUGUCCUGGGCCACACACGUGCUACAAUGGUAAAGACAAAGC
This 695-nucleotide ribosomal RNA is filed under the name uncultured marine haptophyte. RNAcentral describes it as "bacterial SSU rRNA". It matches the Rfam family "Bacterial small subunit ribosomal RNA", at positions 543 to 1245 of the family's 1533-position model. The record is from RNAcentral. Lineage: Eukaryota; Haptophyta.